AGUCGAGCGAUGAAUCCUUUGGGAUGGAUUAGCGGCGGACGGGUGAAUAACACGUGGGUAACCUGCCUCAAAGAGGGGAAUAGCCUCCCGAAAGGGAGAUUAAUACCGCAUAAUAUGUUUUAAUCGCAUGAUUGAAACAUCAAAGGAGUAAUCCGCUUUGAGAUGGACCCGCGGCGCAUUAGCUAGUUGGUGAGGUAACGGCUCACCAAGGCGACGAUGCGUAGCCGACCUGAGAGGGUGAUCGGCCACAUUGGAACUGAGACACGGUCCAGACUCCUACGGGAGGCAGCAGUGGGGAAUAUUGCGCAAUGGGGGAAACCCUGACGCAGCAACGCCGCGUGAAUGAUGAAGGCCUUCGGGUUGUAAAGUUCUGUCUUCUGGGACGAUAAUGACGGUACCAGAGGAGGAAGCCACGGCUAACUACGUGCCAACACCCGCGGUAAUACGUAGGUGGCAAGCGUUGUCCGGAUUUACUGGGCGUAAAGGAUGCGUAGGCGGACAUUUAAGUCAGAUGUGAAAUACCCGAGCUUAACUUGGGUGCUGCAUUUGAAACUGGGUGUCUAGAGUGCUCGAGAGGUAAGUGG
RNAcentral lists this ribosomal RNA (584 nucleotides) under uncultured bacterium. Its description in RNAcentral is "bacterial SSU rRNA". It matches the Rfam family "Bacterial small subunit ribosomal RNA", at positions 60 to 664 of the family's 1533-position model. The record is from RNAcentral.